Long non-coding RNA from Micropterus salmoides (largemouth bass), 250 nucleotides. RefSeq lists it as uncharacterized. NCBI's taxonomy places the organism in Eukaryota, Metazoa, Chordata, Actinopteri, Centrarchiformes, Centrarchidae. The transcript is spliced from 3 exons. The record is from RefSeq and is a predicted model, not a curated record.
GCCUUCUGUAGAUAUAAGUAGUGAAGUUGUGAGAGUGUGACAGACUGAAGGAGAAACAGCAGUUUGUUUCCUCUGAAGGUGAAGCCGCAACGUCUCCUCAGUUCAACCUGCAGAGCAUCAGACGGAUCCACAUCAGCAGUUUCAGCAGAAAUCUGACAAUGAAGCUGGUAUCAGUCGUCUUCCUCCUCCUGGCUCCUCUGUUGACCAGCUGCCAGCAUUUCUUCCAACCGGUGGACUGCAGUGACAUCUA